Molecule: long non-coding RNA, 903 nt
Organism: Cervus elaphus (red deer)
Lineage: Eukaryota; Metazoa; Chordata; Mammalia; Artiodactyla; Cervidae
Exons: 4
Source: RefSeq, a predicted model, not a curated record
CUCAGAAGUGAGGGUUUCGCUUUCCCUUCUGGUUCUCCAAAUAUAUCUGGGACCACAAGGUGUGCGAGGUUUGUUGCAGAGACAGAAGGCGGCUGCAUCUGCAGAGCUGAGAAAAACUGGAUCUUGUUCACACUCAGCCAGAGGAAGACUCCUAGUUUCAGAGCCAACACCAAUGCAGAGCGAUGACCACAAACACAAGUCACUCUUAUCCGCAGCUGUUAUUAUACCUGAUAACAGGACUACGACUUGGAGGAAAUUGGACGGAGAUGAGGAACUUUCCCUGACUAGUGACCUACAGAGCCCAGGAGACAGAGAACUAUGCUGGGUUAAGUCCCCGGUGGCACUGGUGGCCGUCCUAGAGGACCCAUCAGAGACCUCACCACUCCCUGUUCCCUGCAGGCACUGCUCACUCGAGAUCGAGCCCACAUUCUGUUCUCUCUUCCCCAAGGGUGAGGUCACACCUCUUUCCAGCCUGACAGAAACAAGGAGCUGAAGGGAGAUCUCUGAGACCCCACUGCUGCCAUCAUGAGCUCAGAAAACCUCAGAGACCUCUCAGGAGGAUUCUUUACCACUGAGCCGCCUCUCCUGCGUGAGAAUCUGGUGUCUUCUUUUCUAAUCAGGACAACAAUCGUAUUGGAUUCGGGCCUCACACUUAUGACUUCAUUUUACCUCAAUUGCCUCCUUAAAGGCCCAAUCUUCAAAUACAGUCACUGGGGGUUAAAGCUUCAACAUAUGACUUGGGGGGUGAGGGCGGGAAAAGCAGGUCCAUCCAUGACCCAGGUGACUCUACCAACAGUGCCCCGGUGAUCACUCCUCAGGAAGAUGAAUUUUAACAAUGUAUACUAAAUAGCAUUUUUUUAAAAGAAUUGUUCUAGAAUUUAUUGCAGUUACCAUUUUAUGAUA